UCCGGUUGAUCCUGCCGGAGGUCACUGCUAUCUGAAUUCGGCUAAGCCAUGCCAGUCUGACCGAAAGGUCGGCGACCAACUCAGUAACACGUAGUUAAUCUGCCCUUAAGUAUGGGAUAACCCUGGGAAACUGGGAAUAAUACCGUAUAGGUAAGGGGUCCUGGAAUGGUCCUUACCUAAAGCUUCGGCGCUUAAGGAUGAGACUGCGGCUGAUUAGAUUGUUGUCAGAGUAAAGACCUGACAAGUCGAUAAUCAGUACGGGCCUUGAGAGAGGAAGCCCGGAGAUGGAUUCUGAGACAAGAAUCCAGGUCCUACGGGACGCAGCAGGCGCGAAAAUUUCACAAUGCACGCAAGUGUGAUGAAGGGAUUCAGAGUGCUUUCUCCUUACUGGAGGGAGCUUUUGUUAUGUCUAAAAAGCAUUUCGAAUAAGUGGUGGGUAAGACGGGUGCCAGCUGCCGCGGUAAUACCCGCGCCACAAGUGGUGACCACUUUUAUUGGGUUUAAAGCAUUCGUAGCCGGUUCGGUUAGUUCCUAAUGAAAUCCGGCAGUUGACUGUCGGGCGUGUUGGGGAUACUGCCGAGCUAGGGACCGGGAGAGGCCAAGGGUAUUCUUGGGGUAGGGGUAAAAUCCUGUAAUCCCAAGAGGACCACCUGUGGCGAAGGCGCUUGGCUAGAACGGAUCCGACGGUGAGGGAUGAAAGCCAGGGGAGCGAAGCGGAUUAGAUACCCAUGUAGUCCUGGCCGUAAACGAUGCUCAUUAGACAUUGGCGUUCUUAAGGGGGACGCCAGAGUCGUAGGGAAACUGUUAAAUGAGCCACCUGGGGAGUACGUUCGCAAGGAUGAAACUUAAGGGAAUUGGCGGGGGAGCACACAAGGGGUGGAGGCUGCGGUUUAAUUCGACUCAACGCGAGAAACCUCACCAGGAGCGAGAGCAGGAUGAAGGUCAGGCUGAUGGUCUUACCAAACACGCUCAGUGGUGGUGCAUGGCCGUCGUCAGUUCGUGUCGUGAGAUGUCCUGUUAAGUCAGGUAACGAACAAGACCCGCGCCCUAUGUUACUAUCGUUCCUUUCCGGGGGCGAGUACUCAUGGGGGACCGCUGGCGAUAAGUCAGAUGAAGGUGCGGUCGACGGCAGGUCCGUAUGCUCCUAAUCUCCUGGGUUACACGCGGCCUACAAUGGCCGGGAUAAUGGGAUGCCACUCCGAAAGGAAGAGCUAAUCCUUAAACCCGGCCCCAGUUCAGAUUGAGGACUGCAACCCGUCCUCAUGAAGCCGAAAUCCCUAGUAGUCGCUGGUCAUUAUCUAGCGGCGAAUAUGUUCCUGCUCCUUGCACACACUGCCCGUCAAGCCAACCGAGUGGAAUUUUGGCAAGCUCUUGCUUUUUGGCAAGAUCGAGCCACAGUUUUGCAAGGUGGGCUAAGUCGUAACAAGGUA
RNAcentral lists this ribosomal RNA (1430 nucleotides) under metagenome. RNAcentral describes it as "bacterial SSU rRNA". It matches the Rfam family "Archaeal small subunit ribosomal RNA". The record is from RNAcentral.